Molecule: unclassified non-coding RNA, 334 nt
Filed under: Bifiguratus adelaidae
Lineage: Eukaryota; Fungi; Mucoromycota; Endogonomycetes; Endogonales
Description: sequence contains 5.8S rRNA gene
Source: RNAcentral
GAACGCACAUUGCACUCUUUGGUAACCCGAAGAGUAUGCCUGUUUCAGAUAUAAGUCACUAUGAACUCCGAGGGGGUGUUUGCCAACUCAGUUUUCAUGACUUGAACUUUCCAGACUCAUUACGCGUCUGGUGGUUUAAAAUAAAAGCAUGGACGGUCUUCUUGACUCAUCCGCACGCAAAAGUGUAAUACGAGCUGUCAAAGGCUUCAUUCACUUCUUGCUAGGACGUCAGAUGUAUCGAUUUAAUCCAUGGUCGCAGGAAAUCUGGGGACUACGCAAGUAGAACCUAUCCAUAGCGGCAUCUGAAAUCAGGUAGGACUACCCGCUGAACUUA